Molecule: ribosomal RNA, 253 nt
Filed under: uncultured bacterium
Lineage: Bacteria
Description: partial 16S ribosomal RNA
Rfam family: Bacterial small subunit ribosomal RNA
Source: RNAcentral
UACGUAGGAUGCAAGCGUUGUCCGGAAUUAUUGGGCGUAAAGAGCGAGCAGGCGGUCUGGAAAGUUGGACGUGAAAUUUUAGGGCUUAACCCUAAAGGGUCGUCCAAAACUCCCAGACUAGAGUGCAGGAGAGGAAAGCGGAAUUCCCGGUGUAGUGGUGAAAUGCGCAGAUAUCAGGAGGAACACCGGUGGCGAAGGCGGUUCUCUGGGCAUUACCUGACGCUGAGGAGCGAAAGUGUGGGGAGCGAACAGG